CAAUAGCGUAUACUAAAGUUGUUGCGAUUAAAAAGCUCGUAGUUGGAUCUCAGGCAUGGGCGCACGGUCCACCUCGCGGUGGUCACUGUGUGUUUUGUUUCCCAUCCUACGCUUCCCGGUUGUUCAGCCCAUGGUGCUCUUCAUUGAGCGUUUUGGGUGGCCGGAACGUUUACUUUGAAGAAAUUAGAGUGUUCAAAGCAGGCACGUUGCCUGAAUAAUGGUGCAUGGAAUAAUGGAAUAGGACCUCGGUUCUAUUUUGCUGGUUUUCGGAACACGAGGUAAUGAUUAAGAGGGGACAGACGGGGGCAUCCGUAUUGCGGUGUUAGAGGUGAAAUUCUUGGAUCAUCGCAAGACGAACAACUGCGAAAGCAUUUGCCAAGCAUGUUUUCAUUAGUCAAGAACGAAAGUCAGAGGUUCGAAGACGAUUAGAUACCG
RNAcentral lists this ribosomal RNA (435 nucleotides) under uncultured eukaryote. Its description in RNAcentral is "SSU rRNA". It matches the Rfam family "Eukaryotic small subunit ribosomal RNA", at positions 592 to 1017 of the family's 1831-position model. The record is from RNAcentral.